AAAACCUUUAAGAAUAGUCCUGUGAGGCUAGGAAGGAUAUAAAGACAAUAGUUUUGUAUUUUUUUAGGAUACAACUAUGCCUUCCUGCUUAAAGGAAGGCAUUUUUUAAU
Regulatory RNA element from Clostridiales bacterium oral taxon 876, 110 nucleotides. It matches the Rfam family "PyrR binding site". From Rfam's summary of the family: This family represents the PyrR binding site and terminator structure. This RNA structure is found upstream of a variety of genes involved in pyrimidine biosynthesis and transport. The alignment also includes a portion of the antiterminator structure. The record is from Rfam. NCBI's taxonomy places the organism in Bacteria, Bacillati, Bacillota, Clostridia, Eubacteriales.